UGUGUGUGUGUGUGGAUAUAUCUAUCUAUCUAUAUAUAUAUAGAUAGAUAGAUAUAUCCACACACACACACU
This 72-nucleotide microRNA precursor is filed under the name Pelobates cultripes (western spadefoot toad). The record is from RNAcentral. Lineage: Eukaryota; Metazoa; Chordata; Amphibia; Anura; Pelobatidae.